AAGACUAUACUUUUAGGGAUCAUUUCUAUAGUUUGUUACUAGAGAAAUCUCACUGAUCGUGUAGAGUAGCCUAAACCAUGAGGAGGAGACGCGUGUUCUCUCCUGAGCGUAAAGCUGGCUCUAGGUGUUGUUUUAUUACAACUGCUUUUUGCCAUUGACGAUCGUUCUUCUCUUCCUCUGGGGAGAGUAAGAGGGAGAGGACGCAGUCUGAGUGGC
Molecule: small nucleolar RNA, 216 nt
Organism: Perognathus longimembris pacificus (Pacific pocket mouse)
Lineage: Eukaryota; Metazoa; Chordata; Mammalia; Rodentia; Heteromyidae
Product: small nucleolar RNA U3
Exons: 1
Source: RefSeq, a predicted model, not a curated record